This 214-nucleotide long non-coding RNA is filed under the name Elaeis guineensis (African oil palm). RNAcentral's name for it is "long non-coding RNA (EGUI_LNC063499)". The record is from RNAcentral. Lineage: Eukaryota; Viridiplantae; Streptophyta; Magnoliopsida; Arecales; Arecaceae.
UACAAAUGAGCCCCAUCUGGACUUCUACGAGAACCGGACUCCGACCGAACUUCUGUAGCAGACAGAUUCAGGAGGAACCCCUACGACACACGGACUCCAGUAGCCGGAUCCCUCCAGCGGGCGAACCUCUCCAGCACCAUCCGACAUCCGCUGCCGGUCGACCUUCCACCAAAUUCUGCAUGAAACCGAACUUCAUCCACAGAAAGCCCCUGAC